Molecule: transfer RNA, 63 nt
Filed under: Myrcia hexasticha
Lineage: Eukaryota; Viridiplantae; Streptophyta; Magnoliopsida; Myrtales; Myrtaceae
Description: partial tRNA-His
Source: RNAcentral
UAGAAAUACUAGUUAAUAGUAGGGGCGGAUGUAGCCAAGUGGAUCAAGGCAGUGGAUUUGGGA